GUGAAUCUGAUCUGAUGUUUAUAUCUACACAGGGAGCAGGUCCUCGUCUACAGAGAUCACCAUGUUGCACCGCCAUGUUUCUACAGUAGCCCAAACUUUACAAUGUGAAACGAAGCUGAACUAACAGCUCAUCUCCAACAGACCAAACAGUCUCAGAGAAACACUGAUGUGAACAAUGAAACGUUUUUAUUCAGAGUUUUUAUUGGUUUAACCUCUCUAACUCCGCCAGGAUGCCGACGUCCUCACUCCCCCUCCUCCUCUGUUAAAUGGUAUCUCCCAGGCGCACUACGUCAUCAAACCAUGUGAUGUUUGGUAUUGCCGGAUUCAGGAAGCUCUCGACUUUUCAAAAAUAACAUUGUUUUUCUUUUAUUUAUUAUGUAUUUGGCACCAGAGCAGCCUAAACACACAGAGUCCAACAUCACGAUGAGUGGUGACAAGUCAUGUCAUGGCGUUUUUCGACGGGAAAAGUUAAAGGAUUACUCGCGAUCUUAUGUGGAGCUGUUAGCAGGGACGUAGCUGGUUUAUAAAAGGUAAGAGUCUCACUCCUACCACUAUUUUUGGCUGAGAUACACCGUCUAGAAAGUGGGAUCAUAACUUUCACGUUUCAUAUGGCUUUAUUUGGUGAUAUUUUAUGGUGUUUGUGUGUCAUAAACAACAUCAGCUAUCAUAAUCACACCUGAUUUCAAUAAGGUACAAUGUUUGAAGCUGGCUGAGUGUUGUUUGAUCACUGAUAGUACUGUUUUGAAGCAGAGUGACCCACUUGUCAUGUGGAGCUCCGCCUGGAUCUUUUCAUGGUAAAAACACUGUAGAAUGGUCAUACUUUGAGCAGUCUUCUUCAAAUUUGAAACAAGUGUUCAUUGAUAGUGUGCCUACAGCCCCACAGUGUCAUUUACCUGCUCAGAUGAAGCCACAGACAGUUAUUCAUCCUGAAACAAAAUCUUCAACUUGUUACUGACUUCAGAGGCCCAUUACUCUGUCUCUGUAUCACCUAGAGUGUUUCUGACACUUUCACAAGAAACUUCAGAGAGUUUUCUUUCUGACAAGACCUCAUGCAUGCAUGUAGUCAGAGCGGUUCAGAAGCUACAGUCAUUUUAAUUUGGGUAUGUCAUUUUAGGUGUUUUUGCUACAAAAUGGCGGUGGAGUGCAAGAUUAAUAAAGGAGCGUAUCCUAAAGUACAUGUGAUUCAUUGUUUAUUUAUUAUUGGUAUGGAAUUUGGUAUCAGAGAAUCUCUGGUACAGAGAAUCACAGAGUUUAACUGAUAUUGGUAUCGACUACUAAAUUCCUGGUAUGGUGACAUGACUCUGUAACCCGACUGUACGAUCAGAGAGGACUGAAUGUUUCUGUCGUCCCAACAAAAUCAACAGAGUGACACGUCUUCUCCAGAAACACAAUCUAGCUGAUCGCUUCAGGAGUCAGAUUCUCCUGUUUAACAUUUAAUUCCUAUCAUAUGAAUGAUCUAUAUUCAUUGACUUCAUAGUUUUAAUCCAGGACCGUCAGUAUUGAAUCAAAGCGCAUAAAAAAAUAAGACGUGCCAAAGUUCGUAGUCAACUCUUCAGUGCACUGGAUAUGUUAUGUAUUUUGUUAUUUUAACUGUGUGUAUUGAGCUUCUUUGGCACAAACGUUUCUUUUUCUGUUGAAUGAAGUUGUUGCUUUAGUUUCCACUGGGUGGCUGUCAUUGAGGUAAAUCAGUCUGAUCAGACUGUAUCAGCAGAUAAUCAAUAUUAACAGAUCUGUUUCCUUUAAUUAACAUUUAUGUAAACAGCAAAAAUGUUUUUGAGGGAAAUGUAGUGCUGAGUGAAUUACAACAUGUCAACAUAAUGAGGAAGUGUUGCUAAUUAACGUACCUACAUGUAGGAAGCCGCAAAAAUGUUAUCUGAAUGUAUUAGGUUUGUUGACGACGUAUUUCAUUUGCUUUCCACCAAAAUGGUGAUCUGUAACACAGUAUCCACUCAUACUGACAACAUUUAACCAAAAUUAGGAUCUUUCCCAAACCUUAACCAAAGUGCUUUUGUUGCCUAAACACAGAGAGGAGUCUGAACCUGGUUGACACCGUUGUACAGUUUGGCUUUGUUGCACUCGGACCACACUGCCUGCGUGAGCAGUGUGUGACAGCUACCUCGCUGAACUGCUGCAGCUCGCACACAUGUGGUGUUCACACAGGCAGGGUUGCUGCUGCCAUAACUACUGUAUUUCGAAAAAUUAAAGGCCGGUACUUGUCUUAUUUAUGGAGCUGUGCAGCCGCUGCAUUGUCAACAACACGAUCCUGCAAAUAUUAUAAUAUAUAUAAUAAAAAGCCUUGUGUAAACAAAAGCAUUCUGUCCAUAGAAACAUUGUCAGAGGGCUUUUAUUUUGAAAUAGAAACAGGAGGUCAUUCAUUCAUUUCCCGUAACCACUUAUCCUGUUGGGGGGCUAUACCAGCUGACGAGAGGCAGGGGACAUCCAAGACAACCUCCCACCCUCCUCUUGUUAUGAGCCGACAAUGCUAACCACUGUGCCGUCCAAGAAAAGAAACAGGAAGUGUCAAGUUAAGAUAAAUAUUUAUAUUUCUUGUCAUUGAAACUAUAGUGACAGGUGAUAAGAUGACGACGUGAUGAUCAAAAGAUAAUUUUUACUGUCCAUUUUGCUGAAAAUCGCACGUUACAUGGAAAAAACAGGGGAGACUUUGAACCUCCAAAUGCGCCUGAGCAGCGCUGCUCACACAGGCAGUGUGGCCCAUGCGUUACGCUCUACCAGUCAAACUGAUGCCAAACAUUGCACUCACCAGUGACCAUCUCCUCGAUGUAGACAUUUAUAUUUAUAACACAUCUGCCAUCUUGAUUUUCACUACUUUUAAUAAAUCACUUAAAAUAAAAAAAAAUUAGAAAUUAAUAGAUUUUUUUGAAAAGGACAAAAUAUCUGAAUGAUUCAUCCCUGUGUACGUAAAAAUGUAAAGAUCCAGUCCUCAUUAAACGGAUGGAUAAUGUCUCCUAAAUGAAAUAAUUUCUAUCAUGCUACCUUUAAAGUCUCAACACUGUUAAUGACACUAAAAUAAAGUCUGUCCUUUCAUUUGAUGCCCCGCAGUAUCGACAGUUUAUCAGUAUUUGUCCAAACUGCAUUAAACACAGUGUAUUAGGCUGUUUGUAUUUAACUGUCAUGUUGAAUAUAUCUGUCAUGUGUGUGUGUUCAGAUGUGUGUGUUUGGUUAUUUGCAGCACUUUUAUUUCAAGGUGUUAAAUUCAUAUCUUUGAAUGUGUUGAAGCAAACGAUAUAUAACAUGUAGCUACAGUUUUUGUCUUGACUUCAGGACUCUGCACUAGUGCCUAAUGCUCAGCUUUUACUGGAAAUUACUGGACGUUGUUUGUCUUAUGUACUUCUUGAUAAUUCCAUCUUUGAAAGGGAAGUCUGGAUCUCUUAAUCUGUAAAUAAAAAUAUGUGAAAUGGC
This is a long non-coding RNA of Epinephelus fuscoguttatus (brown-marbled grouper), 3420 nucleotides long. RefSeq lists it as uncharacterized. The transcript has 2 exons. Lineage: Eukaryota; Metazoa; Chordata; Actinopteri; Perciformes; Serranidae. The record is from RefSeq and is a predicted model, not a curated record.